AGCGAACGCUGGCGGCAGGCUUAACACAUGCAAGUCGAGCGGGCGUAGCAAUACGUCAGCGGCAGACGGGUGAGUAACGCGUGGGAACGUACCUUUUGGUUCGGAACAACACAGGGAAACUUGUGCUAAUACCGGAUAAGCCCUUACGGGGAAAGAUUUAUCGCCGAAAGAUCGGCCCGCGUCUGAUUAGCUAGUUGGUGAGGUAAUGGCUCACCAAGGCGACGAUCAGUAGCUGGUCUGAGAGGAUGAUCAGCCACAUUGGGACUGAGACACGGCCCAAACUCCUACGGGAGGCAGCAGUGGGGAAUAUUGGACAAUGGGGGCAACCCUGAUCCAGCCAUGCCGCGUGAGUGAUGAAGGCCCUAGGGUUGUAAAGCUCUUUUGUGCGGGAAGAUAAUGACGGUACCGCAAGAAUAAGCCCCGGCUAACUUCGUGCCAGCAGCCGCGGUAAUACGAAGGGGGCUAGCGUUGCUCGGAAUCACUGGGCGUAAAGGGUGCGUAGGCGGGUUUUUAAGUCAGGGGUGAAAUCCUGGAGCUCAACUCCAGAACUGCCUUUGAUACUGAAGAUCUUGAGUCCGGGAGAGGUGAGUGGAACUGCGAGUGUAGAGGUGAAAUUCGUAGAUAUUCGCAAGAACACCAGUGGCGAAGGCGGCUCACUGGCCCGGUACUGACGCUGAGGCACGAAAGCGUGGGGAGCAAACAGG
RNAcentral lists this ribosomal RNA (704 nucleotides) under uncultured Bradyrhizobiaceae bacterium. RNAcentral's name for it is "bacterial SSU rRNA". It matches the Rfam family "Bacterial small subunit ribosomal RNA", at positions 28 to 776 of the family's 1533-position model. Lineage: Bacteria; Pseudomonadati; Pseudomonadota; Alphaproteobacteria; Hyphomicrobiales; Nitrobacteraceae. The record is from RNAcentral.